AGAGUUUGAUCCUGGCUCAGGAUGAACGCUGGCGGUAUGCUUAACACAUGCAAGUCGAACGGAACCUUCGGGUUUAGUGGCGGACGGGUGAGUAACGCGUGGGAAUCUGCCUCUAGGUCGGGGACAACAACUGGAAACGGUUGCUAAUACCCGAUGUGCAGCAAUGUGAAAGAUUUAUUGCCUAGAGAUGAGCUCGCGUCUGAUUAGCUGGUAGGUGUGGUAAUGGCGCACCUAGGCGACGAUCAGUAACUGGUCUGAGAGGAUGACCAGUCACACUGGGACUGAGACACGGCCCAGACUCCUACGGGAGGCAGCAGUGGGGAAUUUUCCGCAAUGGGCGAAAGCCUGACGGAGCAAUACCGCGUGAGGGACGAAGGCUUUUGGGUCGUAAACCUCUUUUCCCUGAGAAGAAGAUCUGACGGUAUCAGGGGAAUCAGCAUCGGCUAACUUCGUGCCAGCAGCCGCGGUAAUACGAGGGAUGCAAGCGUUAUCCGGAAUUAUUGGGCGUAAAGCGUCCGCAGGUGGCUCUGUAAGUCUGUCGUUAAAGAAUGGGGCUCAACCCCAUACAGGCGAUGGAAACUACAAGGCUAGAGUUUGGUAGGGGUCACGGGAAUUCUUAGUGUAGCGGUGAAAUGCGUAGAUAUUAAGAAGAACACCAGCGGCGAAAGCGCGUGACUGGGCCAGUACUGACACUCAUGGACGAAAGCUAGGGGAGCGAAAGGGAUUAGAUACCCCUGUAGUCC
This 743-nucleotide ribosomal RNA is filed under the name cyanobacterium enrichment culture clone 1_16_1.1.5_T7. RNAcentral describes it as "bacterial SSU rRNA". It matches the Rfam family "Bacterial small subunit ribosomal RNA", at positions 8 to 796 of the family's 1533-position model. Lineage: Bacteria; Bacillati; Cyanobacteriota. The record is from RNAcentral.